RNAcentral lists this small nuclear RNA (23 nucleotides) under Arabidopsis thaliana (thale cress). RNAcentral describes it as "snRNA_04465". The record is from RNAcentral. Lineage: Eukaryota; Viridiplantae; Streptophyta; Magnoliopsida; Brassicales; Brassicaceae.
UCUCCUACACACUUGCCUCGAUU